This is a long non-coding RNA of Neofelis nebulosa (Clouded leopard), 8487 nucleotides long. RefSeq lists it as uncharacterized. The record is from RefSeq and is a predicted model, not a curated record. Lineage: Eukaryota; Metazoa; Chordata; Mammalia; Carnivora; Felidae. The transcript has 5 exons.
GUGUAUUUUUAAUCUUACUUGGUUAAUGUAAAUAGCUACCUGUGGCUAGUGGUUCCUGCAUCAGCCAGCACAGGCCGAGUUGGUCAGGCUCAGGUAGUGAGCCAUUUUGCCUUUUAGUUUCCAGUGUGCCCCGUGUCCUUUGGCUUUUUUUUGUUGUUGUUCCAAUAACUGGCAGAGCCAGCCUAGCUUCUAAUUCACUCUUAUUUCCAGACUUAAUUUCCCUGCCAGCUUGAGAAACAAGGAAGGGAUGCUUUCUGAGUCAUUGUUGAUGUGCCUCAGAUGGCUACACACACAGCUUUCACUUUGAUCACAAAAGACAACUACGUGUACUUUGUGCCUGUGUGUGCAUGAGGGUAAACUGGUUGCAAUAUUAAAAGACCAAAAGCUGUUUCUGAUGGGAAAUAUUGAAUCAGCAGAAUUGGAAACACAGCUGUGUGGUUCUGAUGGGGACCUACUACUUUCUUCUGUCAGUCAGUGCUCACUUAGCACUCAUUGUGUGCAGGGCAUGCACUAUGCCAGGCUCUGUAGGGAGACAUCAAGGAGAUGCUCAGCACAGGUUCCUGAAACCUGUCCCUUACUUGUCUCUGUUGAUUGUCUUCAGGAAUUUAAGAAGUUCGUAAAACAGUGAAGCGGUCCAGGUCUCUAGCAAGAAGAGGGACAGUGUACAGGGAAAGAGGUGAGUUAUAUCCGAGAGGACAGUACCUGUCUGCGGGUUGUUUUCAUCAGCGGUAUGGUGCCCUGGGUCUUGCCUCGUUCCUGAGCCCAGUGGCACCAUUUGCAGGACAGCUGGCCGAGGGAGGACAGAGUGCAGUCGGAAAGCAAGCCCUUCCCUCCAGCCCCGUGCUCCCACCUCUGCGGCCAGGCACUCAGGCAUUCUGGAGGUUCUCUCCCCAUGCCCCCUAGUCUCCAGCCCUUCCUUCCCCCAGUCUGUUUUGACAGCCUCCUAACUGGCUUUUUUGUCCCCUCUCCACUCACCUUCAGAUCACCCUAGCACUGCUGCCAGAGGACUGUCCAGUCACUGCUCACAAAUCCUGAUCACAACGGGACUCACAAAGCCCCCCUUUGCAUAUUGGAUUCUUUUCCUUCUUUUUAAUUUAGCCUUUCUGUGUGUGUUUUGAAAGCGGGGUAUUGCUUUAGGUUUGUCUUGAAUUUAGUCUGGAGUUUCUUUGACGAGGGAAUGUAGACCACGGGUGUUUGUUACGAAUACUCUGGUGGCAUAUUCUCUCCUGGCCACAUCUGCCGGGGCUGGGUCCGGGUGUGGUCCUGGGCAGCCUGCCACCCUGGGGCUGACUCCAUUUCUUCAUCUGUAGAAGAGGGAUAAUUAUGAUAACACUGUAGGAUUAUUGUGAGCAUUUAAACCUCAUGGUAUGUUCAGAGUUUUGGCAAAGUACAUGGAUAGAGGAGGGGGUUCAACGUGCUAACAGCCAUUUGGUUGUUAGUAUUCUUUUUUAUACUAGUUGGUUUUCGUUUCUUUUUUGGUCCUCCUCCAGCUUACGCGAAUUGAAAUUCGUUUCCCUUUAGGUACAUCUAUUUAGAAGGCAAAUUCCUUCAUUAAAAACCCACCAGGAUCAUGUGACUGGCAAUUCCAAGGUUUAUAUACCCAGGAGAAUUGAAAACCUGGAUCCACACAGAGGCUUGUACACAAAAGUUUAGAGCAGCAUUAUUUAUUGUAGCCAAAAAGUGGAAACAACCCAGGUGGCCAUGAUGAAUGAAUGGAUAAACAAAAUAUGAUAUGUCCACACUAGGGAAUAUUAUACUCAGCCAUAGAAAGGAACAAAGUCCCGGUCAAUGCCACAAACACAUUGGCUGAACCUUGAGGACAUUGCGCUGAGUGAAAGAAGCCAGACCCCGAAGGUCACAUAUUGUCUGAUUCCUGUACAUGAAAUGUAGUGAGUCGAGCACACUUCCUGGUUCAUCCAGGGGAUGGGCAAAUGGAGUGUACUCUAUGCCAGGAAGUGUGUCCGACUCUGCAGCCAAGAGCUCUGCACCUUGUCACUCUUUUGAAAAGUGUUUUGCAAACAUACUUCAUGCUGUCCUGCAAAUGUCCAUGAAGAUCCAGGCAGAAUUUAACCAUUCAUAAACUUAUUGAUGUUUUUUUGUUUUUGUUUUUGUUUUUGCAACUGCCCUGAUUUCUUCAAGAUCAUGGUUAUCACGUGUUUUCAGUCACAUUCGAUACAUAACUGGCUAACGCUUUAUCUGAUUUAGUCACAGAGUAGUCCUUUGAUAAGAGCCAACAUACGACAACGGGACUUUUGGGGGAUGGAAGGGACACUCUGGUUUCUUCCUCAUUUUUCUGAUAUGUCUGAAUUUCUCGCUUCCACACUCCUUAGAGGGGAAAGUUGUCUUUUUGCUUCAGACUGCCAGCCUUCUGCUGGGAGACAAGAGGCCAUGAUCCCCACUCACUAACUUAAUACAGGAAGUGAAAAGUAUCACGCAAAUUGCUGCCGCUCUAACUUCUGUCUUGCCUCUGCCUCUUAAGUCAUUGGAGGCAUUCAUUUGGCUCUGCUGUAACGGACCCCUAACGUUCUUCCAGGAGAAAUACUAGAGCUUUGGAGAGACACGAACCCUGCGGUGUAUGAAUUGACUGCUUGAGAAGUGUUAGUGUCGGUUCUGGAAUGGGGCCUGUGUCAUAGGUACUUAUGCUGAAAGGAAGUGUCAAAUUUUCCAUAGUCCGAGCUUUCCAGAAUCUAGUUGGCUGCUUGCCUCUGAGUCAGAAUUUCUUUUCUAAAAUAAAUGAUUUGGAACGCUCUUAUCUUUACACGCAGACGUAGCGCUUCAGUUCCUCCUGCCUGGGAAAGUUAGCUCUGCAGCUGAAACCCGGUACAUGGUGUUGUCCUGGUUUAAUCAGCUUCCAGAAACUCAUUAAAUCCCACACUAACUUUGUAAGGAAACAGCAGCGUGUAUUAGAUUCCUUUUUGUUCCCCACUUCGAUGCCAUUGUUUAUUUUUUUUUUUGCCUUUUUUUGUUUCCUAGUCUUACCUCCUAUUCUUUCUUCUUAAUUUUGUUUGGUCAAAGGCUUUCUUUUAACAUUCGGGUUCCAUUUUGACUGUUUCACCUUGGUAGUAAUUCUGCUUAUUCUUUCUUCCUUUUUUCUUUUUUUAAAAAUUUUUAAUGUUAUUAUUUAUUUUUGAGAACAAGCAUGAGCAGGGGAGGGACAGAGACAGAAAGGGAGACACAGAAUUUGGAACAGGCACCAGGUUCUUCUGAGCUUUUAGCACAGAGACCGUUGUGGUGCUUGAACUCACAAACUGCAAGAUCAUGACCUGAGCCGAAGUUGGACGCUUAACCGACUGAGCCACCAAAGCUCCCCUCUUACUUUUUUCUUUCUUCAUUUAAGAACCCCUUUCCAGUGAGCGUGCUUUUCUCCUCUAGGGAUUGCAGUUGAAAAGAAAACCUAGUUGCCUGGAAAUUCAUGUCACUAGCCAUUGCAUGACCUUUCUUAAGUUGAGUGAAUGAAUGAUAAAAUCAUAAAAUACUUAGUAUAUUCAUCAGGGUCUCUAGAGAAACACAACCAGUAUGAUACACAUGUGAUCCUUGAACAACGUGGGAGUUAGAGGCCCCCCCCUUCACCCCAUCCCAUGCCGUCGAAAAUCCGGGUAUAACUUUUGAUUCUCCAAGCACAUAACUAAAUUAAAUCCCAUAACUUAACUUCUGGUCUACUGUUGACCAGAAGCCUUGCUGAUAAUAUCAACAGUUGAUUAACACUUAUGUUGUAUGUUAUAUGUAUUAUAUACUGUAUUCUUUACAGUGAAGCAAGUUAGAGAAAGUGGUACUAAGAAAAUUGUAAGGAAGAGAAAAUGCAUUUAUAAUACUGUACUUUAAAAAUAUCUGUGUGUAAGUAGACCCAUACAGUUCAAAUCUGUGUUGUUCAAGGGUCAGCUGUGUGUGUGUGUGUGUGUGUGUGUGUGCGCGCGCGAGCGAACACAAAAAGGACUUCUUAUAAUGAAUUGGCUCAUAGGAUUAUGGAGGCUGGAAAGUACAAAAUCUCCAGAGUCAGUGCCCCAGUUUGAGUCCAGAGGCCAAAACUGCUGUAGAACCAGUAAGAGCUGAUGUCCUAGCUUGAAGGCCAUGAGGCAGGAGAAUUGGCUCACAUGGGGGAGGUCAGCCUUUUGUUCCAUUCAGGCCUUCAACUGAUUAGGUGAGACCCAUCCACAUUAGGGAGAGCUAUCUGCUUUACUCAAGUCCACCAAUUAAAAAAUUUUUUUAAUGUUUUUUUUUGAGACAGAGGGAGACAGAGUGCGAGUGGUGGAGGGACAGAGAGAAAGGGAAACACAGAAUCCGAAGCAGGCUCCAGGCUCUGAGCUCUCGGCACGGAACCUAUCGCAGGGCUCAAACCCAUGAACUGCGAGGUCAUGACCUGAGCUGAAGUUGGACGCUUAACCAACUGAGCCACCCAGGCGCCCCCAAGUCCACCAAUUUAAAUGCUAAUCUCAUCCAGAAACACCCUCACAGAAACACCCAGAAUAAUGUUUGACCGCCUACCUGGGCACCUGGUGGCCCCAUCAAAUUGACACUAAAAUUAACCAUCACAGGCAGCUGUUGCUUUCUCAGUAGCCUGGAGUUGGAGUUGUGUGCUGUUUGAUUUGAACAGGAGCUGAACCCAGAGAAAAGGGACUGAAACCUCAGUUCGGAGCUAUGACUUUAUUUUGCAGGUUUUACGCCCCUCUGCUCUGCUCUCCUGGUCAUGGAUCCUCUUACCACGUUUUGUAUGUGCUCUUUUUCUUGGUCAUUGGUCAAUGACUUCUCAUUCACCAUAGGAAUUGCUCCAGAUGUCCUAAUUUUUUAAGAUCUUUCCCUAACUCCUGACCCUUUGCUUUCUGCUUGAGAUCUGGCCUCUUCUUUCGCAGACGGGAGAAACUGAGACUUGGACAGGUCUGUUACCUGGCCUGAGGUCACACGGCUAUUGGAUGGUCAAACUGGGAUUUAAUUUGGAGUGAUUGGGCUUGUCAGUCCUGGGAGCCUCUUGGGAGCCAGGCACCAAGCCAAGCGCUAAAUGCUCUCGUUUUCCCGAUGUCUCUAACCUUGAUGCCUAUGUCCUUCCCAUUUCUGGAAGGGCUGCAACGAGUAUUUCCCUGACACUCCACGUGCAACACUGCACUGAUCUUAGCAUCCAGUACCUGCCCUUGGUGCACAGGCCUCUGGCACUUGGCUCCUAUAAUUUUCUUUCCUGCUUAUUUUCCCCCUUUAUAUUUGUGGUAUGUAAACCUAAUUCUGUUCUUUCAUCCUAAAAGCUCUCCCUUGACCCUGUGUCCCUCUUGAGCUGCUCCUGAUCCCUUCUUUUCCUUUUAUUCCCCAGUCUUUAUUUUUAACUCCAAAUAACUAACUCCUUAGCCUGCUGAGACCCAAGCUGCUGCUAUCUGCCCAUCCACUGAAACUAUUCUUGGCAAAGCCAUGGAGAGCAUCCUGUUCAGUCACAUGUAGUGGCCGCCCUGCUUGACUCCAUCGCAUCUGUCACUGCUGACCAUUCCUUCCCCCAGGAACUCUCGUUCCUCCUGGUUCUUGCACGGCACUCUCCGUCUUCUGUGCAGCUGUUCCACUGUGGUCCUCACACUCGACUGUGCGACUGUGCGUGAACAUCGCCCCGAGGGCUUGCCGGCCCCACCCCAGGACUGCCGAUUCAGCAGGUCCAGGGUGGGCCCAAGGGUUUUGCCUCUAACUGGACUCCGUUGAUGCCGCUGCCGCUCCAGAGACCACACUCUCGAUGCUGACAUUGCAGUUUUUCCAGAAUGUUCUCUCAUUAAUCCUUUGUCUCUGCAAUAGCAGGCACCUCUUCUUGGGCAUGGUGAGCGACGUGGUUAUUGGUUGUUUUUGGCAGCCCGGAACUGGUCCUCCUCCCCUGAGUGAUGGUACCCCGAUCCUCCAGCCCCUGUUCUCCGGGGUGGACAACCGUGGCCUGCGGUUCCAGGACAGCCUAAUGUGGGAGCAAUGCGCCACAGAGCUCAGUUUGAAUCCCGGCUGUCAACGACUUAGAGCUAUGGCCCUGUGCAAUUCCCGCAGCCCACCGUGUCCAGCUACAGACCACCCUCCUCACGCAUCAACACAAGGUCAAUGGUAGCCUAAGACGGCGUCACAACGGCUAUGUCAUUCCCGUGCCUUCAUCUCGUCACGCGCGCGUUUUAUCACCUCACGUCACCACAAGAAGCGUACGUACGGUCACAUAGGUAUGUCCGUCUAGGAAACAACGCGGUGUAUGUAGGGGUCGGCACUAUCCGUGGUUUCAGGUGGCAUUGGGGGUCUUGCAGCGCGGGCCCCACUCAUAAGCGAGGGGGCUACUGUAGCGACGUGAGGAAUCACAAGGAAGCACCAAGUGGAGUCACAGGGCCUGGAUUUGAGUCUCAGCUCCAUUGCUGACCGGCUGUGUGAUCCCAGGUAACUCAUACAACCUCUCGAGCGUCGGUUUUCCUCAUCCAUAAAAUGGGAACGCUACUGAUAAUAGGCGCUUCAGGAGACUGUGGUGAACUAAGGUACGUGAGCUUGUUUUUUAAGCUAGAAAGCCUCACCAGUGGUUCCCUGGGAUCAUUUUUCCCCCCAGACUGAAACAGCCUGGUUCUAAAAACCAGGUAACAUUAAGAGAGCCUCUGACUCCGGCCUCACUUGCUUGGCUGGAGUUCAGCUCACUUAAAUUCCUCCCCGGCGGUUCUGAAAUCGCUGGGCCAGAGGUACCGGCAGAGAGUCUGUUUUGCUCUGAGCGAGGAACUCCAAGCCUUUUCUGGGGACAUGGCCCUUUAUGCACAGGCUCUCCCAUUUUCACCCACUUGACCCCACUACCUUUUCUACACCUGGUGGGACUAGGGGUGGACUCUGCUCCCAGGGUAUCUGACGGGCCAACAGCUCCCCAAGCCUCCCCAGGCAUCCACGUGCCGGAGACCCUGACCCUCUCCUGUGCCGAAGUUUGGACUCCGGGGCACAAGAUGGGAGAGGGAGGCUUGGGAGCAGAGUGAGGGUAGCUGAUGGCACACCUCACCCCUGCGGGGGGCAGAGGUGCCCGGUGCCUGGGAGAAGCUGUUCUGCCUCCUGCUGUUCUCCAGCUGUGUUCAGUUCCCCUUCUUUCCGGCCUUCCCUGUAAACUCCCACUGGUUAGGGCAACCCGAAGUAUUGCUGUGUCUCUCAGCUUAGAGGAGCCUGAUUGCCAUGGGAGGAUCUCAAGGUCCCUCCAGAGGGAGUGGAGUUUGCUCAGAGCAAAGUGCACCAGCUACUCUAUUUGGAAAAUGGAAACACCCGUUAAGUCUACUGACCAGGGACUGGGAAACAGGACCUUGGCAUCCACACCGCAGUGAGAUCCUACAGCUGGAAAAUAGCACAAGGAGGCCCGUUAGGUACUGAUACGGGGUGCUUGCUCCACAGGACAUUUUCCUCUGCAAAAAAGCGUGAGGUUCAGAACAGUGUGUGUAAUCUGCUGUCACUUGUGCAGCAGAUCAAAGACUAAAAUAUCUCUGGAAUAUCACACAUAAUCUAACGGCACUAGCUGUCCAUGAGGAACGGAGCCAGGUGGCGGUGGUGAGGGAAGGAAUUUUCACUGAACAUCCUGCAAUGGCUUUUCUAAAUCGAGAACACUGAAAUUUAAUCACCUGCUUAAACAGUCAAAUCAGAAAAAAAAGCUUAGAACUGUGGCUUGUGAGGUUGAGCAGUCCUGAGUUCAAACUUUGUCUCCACGAUAUAUUGCUGUGCAUUAGCAAACGAGUGGCUCAACCUCUCUGAAGUCAGCUUUCUUAUCUGUAAAAUAAUAAUAGUAAUGCCUACCUGAUAGGACUGUCAUAAUACUCUACCCUUCUUGGCCCAUAGUAGCCAUUCAACUUUGAUUGGCUAUUGUUGUCAUUGCCAAUUUCCUCACAAGGCAUUUAACAUUUCCCCUUAGCUUGUCCCCUGCUCCUUAAGAUACACAAUUUCAAGGCAGUGUUAUGUUUUGUUUGCAUUUUUUGUCCUUUUUAUUGGUUCGUUUUUGUCCAGUACUCUCCCCAGGAUAAGGGCCUUGGGGGUUGGGCCAAGUAAAUUAGAAUCAGCUUCUGUUGUACUCAAAAUCAGUCCUCUGUUUGAAAUGCGCUCAUUAUUUGGACCCAGCCUAUCUUCCUUUGGAGUGAGUUCUCCCAGUCCCUCCUGUAGUCUCCUGACAGCCCACCGUGGAUUUUCUAAGCACUUCUAAAUGCCUGGUGAACACAGUCUACGUUAAGCUAUGACAUUGGUGGUUAUUAUGGUCCCCAAUUCCCAUCGUCUUCAAUCACAGUAUUGUAUGCACUACAGUCACGGACAUGUGACCAGGAUUCCAGCACAGUGACGGCUCCAAGGGCUCAGGGGCUGGAUAGACGAGGUCCCUGCUGCUUCUAACAGGAGAGAAACAGCAUCCAGGCCAGCUUGGUCCCUGUGCUGGCACUAGGGGGUGCUCUUUUGUUUAGCUAUUUUCUUAAGUUUCCCUUUAGGUUUUUGAAUGGAUGGGCCUGCUGUGAUCAUUUCUUGAUGAAUGAGUGAACAAUAAAAGCUGUAGGAAUGUGA